This 841-nucleotide ribosomal RNA is filed under the name uncultured bacterium. RNAcentral's name for it is "bacterial SSU rRNA". It matches the Rfam family "Bacterial small subunit ribosomal RNA", at positions 662 to 1504 of the family's 1533-position model. The record is from RNAcentral.
UAGAAUUCAUAGUGUAGCGGUGGAAUGCGUAGAUAUUAUGAAGAAUACCAGUGGCGAAGGCGGCCUCCUGGAUCUGUACUGACACUAAGGUGCGAAAGCGUGGGUAGCGAACAGGAUUAGAUACCCUGGUAGUCCACGCCGUAAACGAUGACAACUAGCUGUUGGGAGACAAUGUCUUUCAGUGGCGCAGCUAACGUUUUAAGUUGUCCGCCUGGGGAGUACGGCCGCAAGGCUAAAACUCAAAUGAAUUGACGGGGACCCGCACAAGCGGUGGAGCAUGUGGUUUAAUUCGAUGCAACGCGAAAAACCUUACCUACUCUUGACAUACUUGGAAGCUCUUGUAAUGAGAGUGUGCCUUUUGGAGCCAAGAUACAGGUGCUGCAUGGCUGUCGUCAGCUCGUGUCGUGAGAUGUUCCGUUAAGUCGGAUAACGAGCGCAACCCUUACCCUUAUUUGCCAGCGAUUCGGUCGGGAACUAUAAGGGGACUGCCGGUGAUAAACCGGAGGAAGGUGAGGACGACGUCAAGUCAUCAUGGCCCUUACGAGUAGGGCUACACACGUGCUACAAUGGGGAAUACAGACGGACGCUAAGCCGCGAGGUGGUGCUAAUCCUAUAAAGUUCUUCGUAGUCCGGAUUGGAGUCUGCAACUCGACUCCAUGAAGUCGGAAUCGCUAGUAAUCGCGAAUCAGCAUGUCGCGGUGAAUACGUUCUCGGGUCUUGUACACACCGCCCGUCACACCAUGGAAGUGGAUUGCACCAGAAGUAGAUAGUCUAACCUUCGGGAGGGCGUUUACCACGGUGUGCUUCAUGACUGGGGUGAAGUCGUAACAAGGUAACCGUA